RNAcentral lists this ribosomal RNA (407 nucleotides) under uncultured bacterium. Its description in RNAcentral is "partial 16S ribosomal RNA". It matches the Rfam family "Bacterial small subunit ribosomal RNA", at positions 28 to 526 of the family's 1533-position model. The record is from RNAcentral.
GACGAACGCUGGCGGCGUGCCUAAUACAUGCAAGUAGGACGCAGUUGCGAACGGGUGAGUAACGCGUAGGUAACUACCUAUUAGAGGGGGAUAACUAUUGGCAACGAUAGCUAAUACCGCAUACUAGUAAGUGGACCUGCGUUGUAUUAGCUAGUAGGUAGGGGAAUGGGCUACCUAGGCAACGAUACAUAGCCGAGCGGAGGUGGGGAUCGGCCACCACGGGACUGAGACACGGCCCCGGCCCCUACGGGAGGGAGCAGUAGGGAAUCUUCGGCAAUGGGGGGAACCCUGACCGAGCCACGCCGCGUGAGUGAAGAAGGUUUUCGGAUCGUAAAGCUCUGUUGUUAAGGAAGCGGUACUUAACCAGAAAGGGACGGCUAACUACGUGCCAGCCGCCGCGGUAAUAC